This is a long non-coding RNA of Cryptotermes secundus, 849 nucleotides long. RefSeq lists it as uncharacterized. The transcript is spliced from 2 exons. The record is from RefSeq and is a predicted model, not a curated record. Lineage: Eukaryota; Metazoa; Arthropoda; Insecta; Blattodea; Kalotermitidae.
UCAUUUUCUGGGCCAAAUUGUCAUGGUUACCCACAUAUUUCUUUCUAACAGAUUAAAUGUCUCCAAAAUUUUCUUCCAAUAAAUGAAAUGCUGAUUUGUCAAUACUUUCAAAGAAAUAUAUAGUAAUUUUGUGCUACUGAGAAAUUACACAAUAUAUUACUACUCUGAAAUGGAGGUAGUACCUGUCUUCAUAACAUGGACAACCAUCUGCCAGACUGUAUGGUAUGACACACCAAAAACCCUGCUUUAAAUUAUAUGAAAUUCUGAUAUGCUGAGUAGAUAUUAUACUGAACAGUUUCUUACAUAUCAUAUAGAUAUAUUAACUAAUAACAACAAACAUCCCCACAAGAAAUGGCAUAUGUACAAUGUCAUUUGAAAUGGGAAAGCACAAGGUAUAGGAAUCACAGAAGAUAUGAAAGAAAGCAUCUUAUUUCACAUAGCUGAGGCCAAAUGAUGGACAAGAAGACAUGACCAAGAAGGGAUACACUUUUUGGAAACAUCAUAACCUGGCAUGACAAUGCAAGGGCCUUCAAAUGAGGCACAGAGCAAUAUGUCAUCUCUAUCUUCUGGUUCAAAGAACAAGCCAAGCAAGAAACUAGCCUGAAGCAGCAGGUGACGUGUUCUCCCGAAUGUCAGUUCGCUUUCAGUACACUGCACAGAAUUACGUCCCAAAAGACACAACUCCUCAUAACCACCACUGCAAGUACCUCAAAUCCUAGAGUUUUUUUUUUUUUGGCAUUCUGGGAUUAACAAUAUUGGACAGUGUUUAAACAGAAUUUGAAAGGUACAAACUAUAAAUGCAAGAAAUGUCAGUAGACAGUGACAUACCAUAAUAAAGUGUAAAGAGGA